UCUCCGUAGGUGAACCUGCGGAGGGAUCAUUACAAGUGACCCGGUCUUACCACCGGGAUGUUCAUAACCCUUUGUUGUCCGACUCUGUUGCCUCCGGGGCGACCCUGCCUUCGGGCGGGGGCUCCGGGUGGACACUUCAAACUCUUGCGUAACUUUGCAGUCUGAGUAAACUUAAUUAAUAAAUUAAAACUUUUAACAACGGAUCUCUUGGUUCUG
RNAcentral lists this unclassified non-coding RNA (216 nucleotides) under plant metagenome. RNAcentral's name for it is "partial contains small subunit ribosomal RNA, internal transcribed spacer 1, and 5.8S ribosomal RNA". The record is from RNAcentral.